This 333-nucleotide ribosomal RNA is filed under the name Triticum aestivum (bread wheat). Its description in RNAcentral is "partial small subunit ribosomal RNA". The record is from RNAcentral. Lineage: Eukaryota; Viridiplantae; Streptophyta; Magnoliopsida; Poales; Poaceae.
AUGGAGCCUGCCAGUGCUAGCUUGGUCUCCCUGAGGGCAUCCACCGCCACGAGCCGCAGCUGUUUCUCAUGUCAGCAGCGAGCGACGCCCAGGACCAGGAUGCUUCCGGCCAUGGCGUCCAAGUCUGGGGCGAAACUGGUGGCUUCAGGCUGCAAGACAUGCAGGGGGAAGGGUGCAGUGGAAUGCGAAGGCUGCAAGGGGACUGGCAGGAACAAGAAGAACGGCAACAUCUUUGAGAGAUGGAAGUGCUUCGACUGCCAGGGGUUUGGGAUGAGGAAGUGCCCCACCUGCGGCAAGGGAGGCCUCACGCCGGAGCAGAGAGGAGAACGAUAG